RNAcentral lists this ribosomal RNA (815 nucleotides) under uncultured bacterium. RNAcentral's name for it is "bacterial SSU rRNA". It matches the Rfam family "Bacterial small subunit ribosomal RNA", at positions 8 to 796 of the family's 1533-position model. The record is from RNAcentral.
AGAGUUUGAUCAUGGCUCAGAACGAACGCUGACGGCGUGCUUAACACAUGCAAGUCGAACGAGAAAAUCCUAGCUUGCUAGGGUGAGUAAAGUGGCGCACGGGUGAGUAACACGUGAGUAAUCUGCCCUUAAGUCAGGGAUAACUCCGCGAAAGCGGGGCUAAUACCCGAUAUGCUCACGACUACUGCGGUAGUUGUGAGAAAAGGUGGCCUCUGGCAUAAGCUAUCGCUUAAGGAUGAGCUCGCGGACCAUUAGCUAGUUGGUAGGGUAAUGGCCUACCAAGGCUAUGAUGGUUAGCUGGCCUGAGAGGGUGGCCAGCCACACUGGAACUGAGAUACGGUCCAGACUCCUACGGGAGGCAGCAGUGGGGAAUCUUGCGCAAUGGGGGAAACCCUGACGCAGCAACGCCGUGUGAGUGAUGAAGGCUUUCGGGUCGUAAAGCUCUGUCAGAUGGAAAGAAUUAGUCUGCUGAAAAUAUUGGCAGAUGAUGACGGUACCAUCGAAGGAAGCACCGGCUAACUCCGUGCCAGCAGCCGCGGUAAUACGGAGGGUGCAAGCGUUGUUCGGAAUUAUUGGGCGUAAAGCGCGUGUAGGCGGAUGAAUAAGUCAGGUGUGAAAUCCCUUGACUCAAUCAAGGAACUGCACUUGAAACUAUUUGUCUCGAGUACGAUAGGGGAGGGCGGAAUUCCCAGUGUAGAGGUGAAAUUCAUAGAUAUUGGGAGGAACACCAGUGGCGAAGGCGACCCUCUGGAUCGAUACUGACGCUGAGACGCGAAAGCGUGGGUAGCAAACAGGAUUAGAUACCCUAGUAGUCC